This is a long non-coding RNA of Phyllostomus hastatus (greater spear-nosed bat), 3834 nucleotides long. RefSeq lists it as uncharacterized. The transcript is spliced from 2 exons. The record is from RefSeq and is a predicted model, not a curated record. Lineage: Eukaryota; Metazoa; Chordata; Mammalia; Chiroptera; Phyllostomidae.
CUGAAAAACAGUAGGUCAGUAGCCUGCUGUUGACCAGAAGGUGGCUUACCAAUACUACUAACAGUCAAGUAACACAUUUUUAAGUACUAUAAAAUGUACUAUGUGUUACAUACUAUAUAUAUUCUUAAAGGGGAAAAAAUGUUAUUUUUGAAAUCAUAAAUGGAAAUACAAUUACAGUAUUUAUUUUUAAAAAUCCACAUAUGUGGACCUGUGUGAUUCAAGCACAUUGUUCAAAGGUCAACUGUAAUCUGUGUCUAAGGCUUUUUUCCCCCUUAGGCCAUUGAUGUGGCAGAGCUUCAAGGUAAAGUUGAAACAUUAAAUUAGAGUAUGUGCUGACAAUUCAUUUCUAUAGUUUUUUUUUUAUUUUAAAUAACUUGUGUUAAAACACUCAGUAGCAGGUCUGGGUCUGCACUGUGACCUUGUUGGUUUGCAUAGUGGUGACAGUACCAAAGCCACUCUCCUCUCUGCCCCACGUGGACUUUUCGGUCCAGUUGACUUUGACCAGUCCUGCCCUGUUUACAGUUUGCAUAGCCUGGGGUCAAGCUGGGCAGCUCUGGGGCCUGGCUCUGGGACAGGGCAGAGCACCAACUCUGGUCUUCUUCCACGUCUCCCCAUGUGAACUGAACCAGGUUUUGUUUCCUUGGAUGAAAUAGCAUCUGGAAUGAAGUAACAGAUACUGUGCAGCCUCUCUCUUCCAGUCUGUAGUUAAAGUUAGACUGGAAAAGAACCAACUUGAAGACUGUCACUGGUAUUUUUGUGUACCAAAAAAGGGAGAUGAGUUUCUAUGCAACUAGUUUUGAAAACACACCUCUUUAGCAAGGCCCAUCCUCUCCUCAGGAGACAACUUGUGCGCUGGGUUCUGUUUCUCAACUAAUUCAGGCAGAUGUGAACUUUCAAAGAAUCCCUGGGCAGAACAAGGACUAGAACUCCAAUCAGAUGUUAAAGUCCCAUGUAUUCCCCAGAGUCCCUGCAUGUUCCACGAUGAAGUCAGAACUAGAGGCAAGGAGGAUCAUGGACCUCUGUGUGAGAAGAAAGGUGUAACAGCUCUUUCACAGACCUUACUUGAGUCCUCAUAUCUCCCUGCCAGAAAAAACCUUGAAGCUGAACACCAACUCCACCUGCCAGCAGCAAAAGAGGUCAGCCCCACAGCAGUGCUGACCAACUUGGCUCACAGCCCCAGCUAAUCAGCAGUGUGAUCUCAGACACAACGGUGCAUGUCUCCACAAGGGGACAUGGGAGAGGGGCGUGACAAAAUACUUCAAGAGCAGAGGCAACUCUAGCAAAGGGGGUGAGGGAGGGUUUUUCCCUUGAAAAAUCUUUACAUCAAAUAAGCUAAAAAAUGUAAGUUGCAAAAGAUAAAAUUUAUAGCCUAAUACUAUAUGAAACAGACCCAAGUACCUACACAGUUCUAGAAGGGAUAAAAAAGUAUUACUCUCUGAAUUUUGUCAGUUUACUCAUAUAUAUAUAUAAUUUGUUUUUUAUCAACAAGUCAGUUUUUCAAACAUUUUUAUAGUCUUUUUUUCCUUUAAGAGUCUUGGUUUUAUCUGGCUGACAAAUACUAAUUUCUAAUUAGGGAAGAGCUUGUUUAUAUGACCAAAUCUUUCCAACUAGAGAUGAGGGGAAAACCAUUAUAAACUGAAACAAAUUUAAGAAAUCAACGUUACUCCCGGAAUUUUAUUCCAUUCCUUAGGAUAAACUCGCAGCAUCACUGAAGGACGAGGCCGAGCCAGGUCACACAGUGGUACAGGGGAACUCAAGAUCACAGCUUCUGGUCGUAAACCUUGUCCGAGCAUCUCAGACUGCCAGUGAGCCAUCAUUCCUCAGGCAUUUGCUACCUACCUCAAGAUGGGCAUGUGGCAGUUCCAGAAACCACCCAGUACCUUGUCACAUUCAACACGUCAAAGGCUUGGUAUUGUCCAGUGUUUUGGAGGGAGGACAGGUUCUGGUCACCUCAGCUGGGGUUUUCCGAUGCCUCAAAACCUGGAGUCUGGCUUCCUGUUUCUCAAGCCCUAUGGCCUUACUCUCUUCAACAGAAGCACCUGGCAUGUGUUGGUCCUGUUGAUUCUCAGGUUUUCACAUCACAGUUGUCAGUGUGACUACAUUCCAGUGCUCUGCAGCUCUCUGGCAGGUGGGGCCACCCGAGAAGUAACAGCAUAGUCAAGAUAAAUGCAGUCUGUUACAGGUGGACAGGAAAUACAGAGCUGGGCCAGGUGACACCAGCUCCACCUAGCCUACCCUAUGAGAAAGACCAAAAGGAGUCUGAAUCCUUCCUCCGAGAGGUCAGAGCUGGCAAACCCUGUAGAGGUACGUAACACCUGCGUGGAAGGCUUACCAAUACAGCAGUUAAGACUAUUUUGUCUUACUUAACUCAUCAGCCUCUCCCUUUCUGGUGUGAGCUCUGCCUCAAUCACACAAUGGCCAGCGCUUGUGAGGCCUAUUCACUGUUUAAUUCCAAGAUAGGGAAAAACUGCACUUGAGAAUGAAUCAUCCAUUUUAUUUUAUUUUGUCUUGUGUUCACAACCUCCUCUCUCUUCUCUCCCCUCCCUGGCAGGUCACAGAUAAAUUAAAAAUAAAAUCUACAAGGAAAAUAAUUUAUAAAAGCACUUCCCAGGCUCCUACUGCUCAGUUAAUGUGUUGCCCGCCCCACUCCAAAUGGGGAGACUCGGCACUUCCCCCACUCAAAGCAUUCCUGUUAUUCCAAAUGGAUGCGGGGGGCAGCAGUAGCAGACAUUUUAAAAAAUAAAGACACUGGUCCUGGAACCAUAUGGCCACCUUGGCACUUCCCUCUCUGCCUCCCCCAGGCAGUCCUCCAGGAGCCCUAGCUGAGCUGGGGGUGCUGACAAGCCGCCUGUAGCCAAGAGCCUGGGGUGGGGGAAGGUGCUCUCAACCGCCAUUACAUGCACUUCUCAUUCUCCUAGGAAGACACCCAAAAAAGAAAGCAGACGGAGACCUCGGGAUGGAGGAGAAAAAUCCCAAAUGUUCACACAGUUACACGGAGUCUUUAUGGCAAAGAGAACAUUUAGCAGCUUUGAAUAUUGGGGUAUCUCCUUGUUACUCAACACAAGCAUUCUAGACCCUAUAAGUGAAACAGGGCUCAAAGCCCUUAGGGGAAAAAAAAAAGCGCAGGAAACUCUAAGAGGACUAGUUUUGUUGUUGCUGGGUUUUGUAGUUUGUCUUUUCCAGUGACAAGCCCAGUUGUUGGUGGGAGACCUGAGGGGGUCACUCCUCAGUAUUGUGCUGAAUACUGCCUGGCUUCUCCACAUCGUCCCCCUGCCUCAAAACAGCCCCCAAGAGGCUGCAGGCCCAUCACUGGGGGCACUGCCAGCACCCCAGCUGCGGAAGAGCUCUGGGCAGCUAGUGAGGGGCCAGGAAGAGAACAGCAUUUGCAUGCAGGUUCUGAUGGAGUUGUGGGAGCCUCAGCUCAGGGGUGACUGGGCACCAAGGGAGAUGGAGUGGCAGGGCAGUGAGUGGCAUGCUUGGUGUUGGGGCUCCUGCAACACUGGGCCUUGUGAUCCUCUCCUGUUCGCCCCACCCUUUAACCCUAACCUUCUCCAAGCUAGCUAGUAUCGGGUCCCAGUGGCUCCCCAGCACUGAAACAUUCAAGGAGAUAUCGAAGAGCCUCCCCUUCAGGGAUGCCAAAGUGUGGGAGCAGAAAGAGUUCACAAAGCCCCUCCCAGAACCCACCCUGUCUGUUCCACCCCUCCCCUGGGGUGAAGUGGGGUUUACUCACACCAAUGACCUAGUCCCACCUAAAACCUGCUGCCUGGAAUCCUGGUCAGAUUCAAUCUUAACCUGCACUUUUUUCUUCAAGCUUUGAUUUUUUUUUUUUUUUUU